This 1809-nucleotide long non-coding RNA is filed under the name Sus scrofa (pig). Its description in RNAcentral is "lncRNA (ENSSSCG00005008087.1)". The record is from RNAcentral. Lineage: Eukaryota; Metazoa; Chordata; Mammalia; Artiodactyla; Suidae.
UUUUUUUUUUGGUCUUUUUAGGGCCACACCUGCAGCAUAUGGAGGUUCCCAGGCUAGGGGUCUAAUCAGAGCUACAGCUGCCAGUCUACACCACAGCUCACAGCAAUGCCGGAUCCUUAAUCCACUGAGCGAGGCCAGGGAUCGAACCUGCAACCUCAUGGUUCCUCAUUGGAUUCGUUACUGCUGCGCCACCAUGGGAAUUCCGACACUGCAGUCUUCUAUCACCGGCAUUUUCUUUUCAAUUCUCCUUUAUCAGUGGCUCACAUUCCCCAACUUAACUUCUAAAAGCUGGAUCAGCCCCAAAGUUCUCUCCUUGUCUACAGGAUGGCAGGAGAUGCUACACGCCACUGAACGCAUCCUCCCCUGCCCAGCAAGAGGGCUGUCGUCUGGCACCCAACGGCUAGCCUCUCUACACUUCCCAGAAGGCCCUGAGUCAGCUAUGACCGUAUGGACAGGUCCUCACCUCACCAACAGGCUGUGAACAGAAGCGGGAUGUGCCAUUUCUGGCCAAAGUGGCUAUGAUCUGGCUUUGAUAAAACAGACAAUACUCGGGAGUUCCCUUGUGGCUCAGGGGGUUAAGGACCUGGUAUUGUCCCUGCAGCUUUGGGUCCUGGUGUGGCACAGGUUCAAUCCCCAGCCUGGGAACUUUCACAGGUCACAGUUUCGGCCAAAAAAAAAAAACAAACAAAAAAGCAUAGCCUGAGAGAAAGCAACACGAUAGGAGGGAAAUGAUCCCUGAGUGGUCAUGAAGCGAAGCCACCAGAUGACCGGGAAAUGGACGGCUGAACAAGGGAAAAAGAGAGGCCACUCCUGUCGGAGCCGUUACGCCUUCCUUGCGUCUGUUACAGCAGCGCAGCCUUCACACCUGACUAACUCAAGCAUCAUACGUGCUCCCUAGACAAUCUCAGUCCUGUGUCUUCACCAUUUACCCAGACUACUUUUAAACCUUGACCCAGAAUGCAAGUGCUGACCUCCUUCCGGAACUGCAGACGUGCACCCAGCUGCCUCCUGGACACACCCACAUGGACGUCCAAGAGUUACUGCAAACCCCCAACUGCCCGGAGGGCUCUCGGCUCUUCCGGCCCCCGGCUCGGCUUUCCUGAGUUCCCGGGUUUUCUCCACUCCAGUCACCUCCUCCAGCCACGGCUGGUACCCCUGACUCCAUGUCCUGCUCUCCCAGGCAAUUUCAGCCUUCUUUGUCCUUCCACAAGCCCAGCUGGUUCCUGCCUCAGGGCAUUUGCACCACCAGUUCUCUCCAGCUGGACCGCCUUUCCUUCUACCUUUGCGAGGCCGGCUCUCCUUCCUCCCGGGAGACCUCGGUUUAAACAGCACCUCCUCAGACGGGGCUUCCUUACAAUCCAAACGCGAACCCUCCUCUGGCGAUCGGCUCCCACAUCACUGUUUCAAUUCCCUGCACAGCACUUACUAGUUGCUGGUAUUUUCCUUACGUUUACUUACUUAUCCAACAAAUACUUACAAAGUCCUAACUAUGUCCCAGGCACUGAUCUAGAUGGGGAUACAGCCAUGAACAAAAACCAGCUCCCCUCCUGAGAAAACACCGAGUACAGCAGAUGGUAAUAAAUGCUACAGAGAAAAAAAUAAAGCAGGGUUAUGGCAUGGAAGUGCACACACCAGGGACAGCAAUAAAUUUUUUUCUUUUUAAGGCCACACCUGCAGCAUAUGGAAAUUCCCGGGCUAGGGGACAAAUAAGAGCUGCAGCUGCCAGUCUACACCACAGCCACAGGGUCGAGCCACAGCCACUGUAGAAGCAACGCCGAGUAGUUAUGUUGUGAGCCACACGGGAAGUCC